Non-coding RNA from Drosophila takahashii, 667 nucleotides. The record is from RefSeq and is a predicted model, not a curated record. NCBI's taxonomy places the organism in Eukaryota, Metazoa, Arthropoda, Insecta, Diptera, Drosophilidae.
AAAAAGCUGGAGGUGUUUUGUGCUGCAGGUAUAGAAACUCCUUGGCCAAACGAAGAGUCCUUGAGUCAACAGUCAACAUUGAAGACGACGGAGAUGAGCCUGCUGACGAAGAGAACGAUAACUAUAAUAAUAAUGCAAAGUACUGGCUCAAAUGCAAUGUUGCCCCAUUGAAUAUAGUCAAGGAACAUUGGGAACACACCUUCUCAGAAAGAAAAUUGUCGAUUCAAACUGGAAGCAAGAACUUAAACGCAAUUCUUGAAGAAUGGCCAAUUUUAAGACAGAGUUUUGGACAUGAAUUGAUAAGUCGAGAUUUUGAGCUUAAGUAUCCAGAGACUAUCAUCGAUUUGGAAACUCAAUGGUCAACAUUUCGAUCAAAGUUCCUUCAACUAUCGCAAGAAAGAGUGAAGAAAAAUUACAGCCUGGAAAUACUGAAGAAAUUAAAAACGGAUUCAGCAGACGACGGUAAAGUUUCCUACUCUGCUAGGUCUACCAUAUUUAUAAGUCCCUGCUUCCAGAUCGGAUAUGGAACACAUAAAAUAUUUAAUCUUAAGAAUAUAACUAACCCGCCUAUUCAUAUACAUGCUCUUAAAGAUAAAAACUAUGUUAAGCCAAAACAAUUUUAAUUAGUUAUAACUGAAAAUGAAGUACAUUGAAAUAAAUAAAAGAC